GAUCCCUACGGGACGCAGCAGUGGGGGAUAUUGCACAAUGGGGGGAACCCUGAUGCAGCGACGCCGCGUGGGUGAAGGAGCGUUUCGGCGCGUAAAGCCCUAUCGGCAGGGAAGAAGAUGACGGUACCUGACCAAGAAGCCCCGGCUAACUACGUGCCAGCAGCCGCGGUAAUACGGAGGAUGCGAGCGUUAUCCGGAUUUAUUGGGUUUAAAGGGUGCGUAGGCGGACUGGAAAGUCAGCGGUAAAAUCGAGGGGCUCAACCUCUUUCCGCCGUUGAAACUGUCGGUCUUGAGUGGGCGAGAAG
This 305-nucleotide ribosomal RNA is filed under the name uncultured bacterium. Its description in RNAcentral is "bacterial SSU rRNA". It matches the Rfam family "Bacterial small subunit ribosomal RNA", at positions 334 to 657 of the family's 1533-position model. The record is from RNAcentral.